GACGAACGCUGGCGGCGUGGAUUAGGCAUGCAAGUCGAACGGUAUCAUCCUUUCGGGGGUGAGAGAGUGGCGAACUGGUGAGUAACACGUAGGUUAUCUACCCUCAAGACGGGGACAACCCAGGGAAACUUGGGCUAAUACCGGAUGUGAGCAACUUUUAGUUGUUUGAAAGGUGGCGUAAGCUGUCGCUUGGGGAUGAGCCUGCGUCCUAUUAGUUAGUUGGUGAGGUAACGGCUCACCUAGGCAAUGAUAGGUAGGCGGCCUUAACGGGUGGUCGCCCACACUGGGAUUGAGAUACGGCCCAGACUCCUACGGGAGGCAGCAGUCGAGAAUAGUCUACAAUGGUCGGAAGACUGAUAGUGCGACGCCGCGUGAACGAUGAAUCCCUUCGGGGUGUAAAGUUCUUUUAUAUGUGAGCAGUGCUUCUUAUAUUAACAGUAUGGGGAAGAGAUAUUAGCAUAUGAAUAAGCAACGGCUAAACUCCGUGCCAGCAAGCCGCGGU
This 502-nucleotide ribosomal RNA is filed under the name uncultured bacterium. Its description in RNAcentral is "bacterial SSU rRNA". It matches the Rfam family "Bacterial small subunit ribosomal RNA", at positions 28 to 521 of the family's 1533-position model. The record is from RNAcentral.